This 253-nucleotide ribosomal RNA is filed under the name uncultured bacterium. RNAcentral's name for it is "partial 16S ribosomal RNA". It matches the Rfam family "Bacterial small subunit ribosomal RNA", at positions 524 to 776 of the family's 1533-position model. The record is from RNAcentral.
UACGUAGGGCGCAAGCGUUGUCCGGAAUUAUUGGGCGUAAAGAGCUCGUAGGCGGCCUGUUGCGUCCGCUGUGAAAUCCCGGGGCUCAACCCCGGGCCUGCAGUGGAUACGGGCUGGCUAGAGGCAGGCAGGGGAGAACGGAAUUCCUGGUGUAGCGGUGAAAUGCGCAGAUAUCAGGAGGAACACCGGUGGCGAAGGCGGCUCUCUGGAACGCAACUGACGCUGAGACGCGAAAGCGUGGGGAGCAAACAGG